GGGAAUGUGGCUUAGUGGUAGAGCGCUUGCCUAGCAUGCAUGAAGCCCUGGGUUCGAUUUCUCAGUACCA
This 70-nucleotide transfer RNA is filed under the name Dipodomys ordii (Ord's kangaroo rat). It matches the Rfam family "tRNA". Rfam says of the family: Transfer RNA (tRNA) molecules are approximately 80 nucleotides in length. The record is from Rfam by way of RNAcentral. Lineage: Eukaryota; Metazoa; Chordata; Mammalia; Rodentia; Heteromyidae.